CACUCUGGAAAGCAGGCCGCGCCUUUUAAGCUGCGCGUGGGCCUCACCGAAGGAGUAAGCCCGGCGCGCCGCGUGAGCCGGGUCAAAUCUCUCAGGUAGAUGGGACAGAGGG
Molecule: non-coding RNA, 112 nt
Filed under: Tepidicaulis marinus
Lineage: Bacteria; Pseudomonadati; Pseudomonadota; Alphaproteobacteria; Hyphomicrobiales; Parvibaculaceae
Description: Glycine sequence
Rfam family: Glycine riboswitch aptamer
About the family: This family represents the bacterial glycine riboswitch. Glycine riboswitches usually consist of two metabolite-binding aptamers domains with similar structures in tandem. The aptamers cooperatively bind glycine to regulate the expression of downstream genes.
Source: Rfam by way of RNAcentral